This is a long non-coding RNA of Bubalus bubalis (water buffalo), 863 nucleotides long. RefSeq lists it as uncharacterized. The transcript is spliced from 3 exons. NCBI's taxonomy places the organism in Eukaryota, Metazoa, Chordata, Mammalia, Artiodactyla, Bovidae. The record is from RefSeq and is a predicted model, not a curated record.
CAGACCUGGUGGGAUAAUAAUAACAAUGAGGUUUAAACAGUGAGGUGGCCACUCAGCUAUUACAAUUGGUGUAGCCACGUGAAGCUGGUGCAAAUGGGUGGAUGAAAACUUUGUAAUCUAAUCUUAACACUUGAUUACGCUAAAAUAUCUACUUAAGUGUUUCUACUCUAAAUGAAGAAUGCCUUGAAGGUAGGGACUGGGCUUAUUUAUCUUUAUAUCCUGUGUCCUGUAAUAAAGAUGUUAUUGGUAAAUGUUGGUUGAACUGAAGUUGGGGAAUGGAAGAGAAAAGUGCACAGAGGCUGAUGUUCUGAUGUCCGGAAGAAAGGAGGAAAAGCGGGGUAUUUGUGGUUUUAAGUUCAUCCCUUCCGUGGCGGAAGGUGGGGGUAGGGUAGGGGAUGUGGGGUGAGGGUGCCCCUGGGCACAGCAGGAAGCUGCUCUUCCUUGGCUGUGCCACAAAGAUCCUGGGUGUUUCUGGGGGCUUCACCCUCCCCCAUCCUCCCACCCUACUACCCUCCAUCAUGCCUGAAGCCCCACGGAUGACGGAUUCUUUUGUCCUGACAAGCAAAUGCAAGUGGGACCAAGAGAGGAGUUGUGUACAUUUUAAAAGCAUUGACCUUGCGGCUUCAUUUGAGACAUCCUGACCUGGACCUGGGGCACAAGAAGGCUGAGAAAUCCCGUCGAACCAAUGGGGGGCUCCACCGAGCGCAUUCUGCGAAUCCCCCGAGGGCCGCCCCCACCGCGCGCAGCUUCCUAAAGGGUCAGUCCUGGUGGGCGCUGAAGAACCGGCGAAGAGGAGUCGCCCGCGUCCACGUCCGUCCUCCCAGCCCCAAGUGUGCAGGGGCCGCCCGCGCCUCCGCCCCGCU